RNAcentral lists this ribosomal RNA (253 nucleotides) under uncultured bacterium. RNAcentral describes it as "partial 16S ribosomal RNA". It matches the Rfam family "Bacterial small subunit ribosomal RNA", at positions 524 to 776 of the family's 1533-position model. The record is from RNAcentral.
GACGUAGGGCGCGAGCGUUGUCCGGAUUUAUUGGGCGUAAAGGGCUCGUAGGCGGUUUGUCGCGUCGGGAGUGAAAACUCAGGGCUUAACCCUGAGCCUGCUUCCGAUACGGGCAGACUAGAGGUAUGCAGGGGAGAACGGAAUUCCUGGUGUAGCGGUGAAAUGCGCAGAUAUCAGGAGGAACACCGGUGGCGAAGGCGGUUCUCUGGGCAUUACCUGACGCUGAGGAGCGAAAGUGUGGGGAGCGAACAGG